UGGGGAAUAUUGCACAAUGGGCGCAAGCCUGAUGCAGCCAUGCCGCGUGUAUGAAGAAGGCCUUCGGGUUGUAAAGUACUUUCAGCGGGGAGGAAGGCGAUGUGGUUAAUAACCGCGUCGAUUGACGUUACCCGCAGAAGAAGCACCGGCUAACUCCGUGCCAGCAGCCGCGGUAAUACGGAGGGUGCAAGCGUUACUCGGAAUUACUGGGCGUAAAGCGCACGCAGGCGGUCUGUCAAGUCGGAUGUGAAAUCCCCGGGCUCAACCUGGGAACUGCAUCCGAAACUGGCAGGCUUGAGUCUCGUAGAGGGGGGUAGAAUUCCAGGUGUAGCGGUGAAAUGCGUAGAGAUCUGGAGGAAUACCGGUGGCGAAGGCGGCCCCCUGGACGAAGACUGACGCUCAGGUGCGAAAGCGUGGGGAGCAAACA
RNAcentral lists this ribosomal RNA (427 nucleotides) under uncultured bacterium. RNAcentral's name for it is "partial 16S ribosomal RNA". It matches the Rfam family "Bacterial small subunit ribosomal RNA", at positions 355 to 774 of the family's 1533-position model. The record is from RNAcentral.